GGUAGUGGUAGCUCAGUGGUUAAGAUGUUGGACUUCUGUUCGGAAAGUCAUGAGUUCACAUCCCAGCACUGCUA
Molecule: non-coding RNA, 74 nt
Organism: Pangasius djambal
Lineage: Eukaryota; Metazoa; Chordata; Actinopteri; Siluriformes; Pangasiidae
Source: the annotation of a GenBank genome assembly